CCUACGGGUGGCAGCAGUGGGGAAUAUUGCACAAUGGGGGAAACACUGAUGCAGCAACGCCGCGUGAGUGAAGAAGUUAUUCGUGAUGUAAAGCCCUAUCAGCAGGGAAGCAAAUGACGGUACCUGACUAAGAAGCCCCGGCUAACUACGUGCCAGCAGCCGCGGUAAUACGUAGGGGGCAAGCGUUAUCCGGAUUUACUGGGUGUAAAGGGAGGGUAGACGGCGACGCAAGUCUGAAGUGAAAUGCCAGUGCUCAACACUGGAACUGCUUUGGAAACUGGGUGGCUAGAGUGCAGGAGAGGUAAGUGGAAUGCCGAGUGUAGCGGUGAAAUGCGUAGAUAUUGGGAGGAACUCCAGUGGCGAAGGCGGCUUGCUGGACUGUAACUGACGUUGAGGCUCGAAGGCGUGGGGAGCAAACAGGAUUAGAUACCCUUGUAGUC
Molecule: ribosomal RNA, 440 nt
Filed under: uncultured bacterium
Lineage: Bacteria
Description: partial 16S ribosomal RNA
Rfam family: Bacterial small subunit ribosomal RNA
Source: RNAcentral